This 1097-nucleotide ribosomal RNA is filed under the name Pseudarthrobacter siccitolerans. Its description in RNAcentral is "bacterial SSU rRNA". It matches the Rfam family "Bacterial small subunit ribosomal RNA", at positions 55 to 1165 of the family's 1533-position model. Lineage: Bacteria; Bacillati; Actinomycetota; Actinomycetes; Micrococcales; Micrococcaceae. The record is from RNAcentral.
AUGCAAGUCGAACGAUGAUCCCAGCUUGCUGGGGGAUUAGUGGCGAACGGGUGAGUAACACGUGAGUAACCUGCCCUUAACUCUGGGAUAAGCCUGGGAAACUGGGUCUAAUACCGGAUAUGACUCCUCAUCGCAUGGUGGGGGGUGGAAAGCUUUAUUGUGGUUUUGGAUGGACUCGCGGCCUAUCAGCUUGUUGGUGAGGUAAUGGCUCACCAAGGCGACGACGGGUAGCCGGCCUGAGAGGGUGACCGGCCACACUGGGACUGAGACACGGCCCAGACUCCUACGGGAGGCAGCAGUGGGGAAUAUUGCACAAUGGGCGAAAGCCUGAUGCAGCGACGCCGCGUGAGGGAUGACGGCCUUCGGGUUGUAAACCUCUUUCAGUAGGGAAGAAGCGAAAGUGACGGUACCUGCAGAAGAAGCGCCGGCUAACUACGUGCCAGCAGCCGCGGUAAUACGUAGGGCGCAAGCGUUAUCCGGAAUUAUUGGGCGUAAAGAGCUCGUAGGCGGUUUGUCGCGUCUGCCGUGAAAGUCCGGGGCUCAACUCCGGAUCUGCGGUGGGUACGGGCAGACUAGAGUGAUGUAGGGGAGACUGGAAUUCCUGGUGUAGCGGUGAAAUGCGCAGAUAUCAGGAGGAACACCGAUGGCGAAGGCAGGUCUCUGGGCAUUAACUGACGCUGAGGAGCGAAAGCAUGGGGAGCGAACAGGAUUAGAUACCCUGGUAGUCCAUGCCGUAAACGUUGGGCACUAGGUGUGGGGGACAUUCCACGUUUUCCGUACCGUAGCUAACGCAUUAAGUGCCCCGCCUGGGGAGUACGGCCGCAAGGCUAAAACUCAAAGGAAUUGACGGGGGCCCGCACAAGCGGCGGAGCAUGCGGAUUAAUUCGAUGCAACGCGAAGAACCUUACCAAGGCUUGACAUGAACCGGAAACGCCUGGAAACAGGUGCCCCGCUUGCGGUCGGUUUACAGGUGGUGCAUGGUUGUCGUCAGCUCGUGUCGUGAGAUGUUGGGUUAAGUCCCGCAACGAGCGCAACCCUCGUUCUAUGUUGCCAGCGCGUGAUGGCGGGACUCAUAGGAGACUGCCGGGGUCAACUCG